Molecule: long non-coding RNA, 504 nt
Organism: Daphnia pulex (common water flea)
Lineage: Eukaryota; Metazoa; Arthropoda; Branchiopoda; Diplostraca; Daphniidae
Exons: 4
Source: RefSeq, a predicted model, not a curated record
AUAUCUCCCAGCUUGUUUUCUUUGUCAGGUAUAUAAACCUCCUGGGCUCCUGGACACUUGCACAUCGUCAGCAUAUACAUCCAGCAAGUCGACUCUGUGAAAUGCGUUCGCUAUUGAUCCUCCUCUGCUUCGUCGUGACCAUCGUCGCAUUUGCGGAAGCCCAGAUCGUGGGUAGUAAUCCGUGCACGUUCGGACCGGCAUUCUGGUGCGCCAGCCUUCAAAACGCCCAGCGAUGCGGUGACGGGGCUGUCGCCCAUUGUAACAGCGCCGGAUGGCAAACGGACUAACGAGAUGUCUUACGAAGCCAACGUAUGGUUAUAGAUUCACUAUUCCACCUAUAAUGAAUCAAUCCAAGAUAGCUACGACUACGUAGGCCUACAUCAACUAUCACUUAACCUACUAUUUCAUCAUUCAUGCUUUGCGGGAAGGCACGGUGGGGGCUAAAUUGCCAUAAUAAGAAAUAAAUGAAUCGGAUUAUUUUUUUCGUUCAAUGCUUGAGAGAUU